CUUCCUACGGGGGGCAGCAGUGGGGGAUAUUGCACAAUGGAGGGAACUCUGAUGCAGCGACGCCGCGUGAGGGAAGAAGGUUUUCGGAUUGUAAACCUCUGUCUUCGGUGACGAAACGAGACGGUAGCCGAGGAGGAAGCCACGGCUAACUACGUGCCAGCAGCCGCGGUAAUACGUAGGUGGCAAGCGUUGUCCGGAAUAACUGGGCGUAAAGGAUGCGUAGGCGGUUAAACAAGUUAUAUGUUAAAUAUAUAAGCUUAACCUGUAGAAAGCAUAUAAAACUGUUUAACUAGAGUGCAGGAGAG
This 305-nucleotide ribosomal RNA is filed under the name uncultured bacterium. RNAcentral's name for it is "bacterial SSU rRNA". It matches the Rfam family "Bacterial small subunit ribosomal RNA", at positions 335 to 656 of the family's 1533-position model. The record is from RNAcentral.